AAACUUUAAUUCGUGCAUGGUCAACGUUUUGUACCUGAUCACGGUCCUUUUUUAAGGUCUUGAGAAAGAACUGUGAUCAGGUCCAAAACGUUGACGAUGCACGAAUGAAAGUUUUU
Molecule: microRNA precursor, 116 nt
Filed under: Pelobates cultripes (western spadefoot toad)
Lineage: Eukaryota; Metazoa; Chordata; Amphibia; Anura; Pelobatidae
Source: RNAcentral